This 253-nucleotide ribosomal RNA is filed under the name uncultured bacterium. RNAcentral describes it as "partial 16S ribosomal RNA". It matches the Rfam family "Bacterial small subunit ribosomal RNA", at positions 524 to 776 of the family's 1533-position model. The record is from RNAcentral.
UACGAAGGGGGCUAGCGUUGCUCGGAUUGACUGGGCGUAAAGCGCACGUAGGCGGCGAUUCAAGUCAGAGGUGAAAGCCCGGGGCUCAACCCCGGAACUGCCUUUGAAACUAGAUUGCUAGAAUCCUGGAGAGGUUAGUGGAAUUCCGAGUGUAGAGGUGAAAUUCGUAGAUAUUCGGAAGAACACCAGUGGCGAAGGCGACUAACUGGACAGGUAUUGACGCUGAGGUGCGAAAGCGUGGGGAGCAAACAGG